RNAcentral lists this ribosomal RNA (1001 nucleotides) under human gut metagenome. RNAcentral describes it as "bacterial LSU rRNA". It matches the Rfam family "Bacterial large subunit ribosomal RNA", at positions 1926 to 2925 of the family's 2925-position model. The record is from RNAcentral.
AACGGCGGCCGUAACUAUAACGGUCCUAAGGUAGCGAAAUUCCUUGUCAGGUAAGUUCUGACCCGCACGAAAGGUGUAACGAUUUGGGCGCUGUCUCGGCAGCAGACUCGGUGAAAUCUUAGUACCUGUGAAAAUGCAGGUUACCCGCAACUAGACGGAAAGACCCCAUGGAGCUUUACUGCAGCCUGAUAUUGAAUUCUGGUCAUACAUGUACAGGAUAGGUGGGAGACAAAGAGACGUGCACGCCAGUGUACGAGGAGUCGACGUUGGGAUACCACUCUUGUGUGACCGGGGUUCUAACCUGGUAUCGAGAACAGGUACGGGGAGAGUGUCAGGUGGGCAGUUUGACUGGGGCGGUCGCCUCCCAAAGAGUAACGGAGGCGCCCAAAGGUUCCCUCAGCGCGGCCGGAAAUCGCGCGAAGAGUGUAAAGGCAGAAGGGAGCUUGACUGAGAGCCAAACACGGCGAUCAGGUACGAAAGUAGGGCUUAGUGAUCCGGUGGCAUCCAAGUGGAAGGGCCAUCGCUCAACGGAUAAAAGCUACCCUGGGGAUAACAGGCUAAUCUCUCCCAAGAGUCCAUAUCGACGGGGAGGUUUGGCACCUCGAUGUCGGCUCAUCACAUCCUGGGGCUGAAGUCGGUCCCAAGGGUUGGGCUGUUCGCCCAUUAAAGUGGUACGUGAGCUGGGUUCAGAACGUCGUGAGACAGUUCGGUCCCUAUCCAUCGCGGGCGCAAGAGAUUUGAAGGGGGCUGCUCCUAGUACGAGAGGACCGGAGUGGACGAACCAAUGGUGUACCAAUUAUCUCGCCAGAGGUAUAGUUGGGUAGCUACGUUCGGAAAGGAUAAACGCUGAAAGCAUCUAAGCGUGAAACCAGCCUUAAGAUGAGAUCUCUCAUAGAGUAAUCUAGUAAGACACCUUGGAGAAGACGAGGUUGAUAGGUCGGGAGUGUAAGUACAGUAAUGUAUUCAGCGGACCGAUACUAAUAUGUCGAGGGCUUGACUUA